This is a long non-coding RNA of Leptinotarsa decemlineata (Colorado potato beetle), 463 nucleotides long. The record is from RefSeq and is a predicted model, not a curated record. Lineage: Eukaryota; Metazoa; Arthropoda; Insecta; Coleoptera; Chrysomelidae.
UCAUUGUAAUAAUCAUCCCUUAAAAGCGAAAUUCUAAUCUCAGUAGAAUCUAUUUUUGCUUUAAUCAUCCGCUCUGUACAAGUCCCUCAAAGUUCGAGAUGACAGUGACAGUCACAGUGUCAUUCACUCGAAACCUCAAAAUCCCAGUCGAAACAUUCCCAUAAUCCAUCACAUCAAGACAUGGAAGGACUCUCCAAGACCAUUUCUCAAGUAUUCUUCACUUCUGAUGCGCAGAUGGCGAUCCUGGGAUUCCUGUGCUUCGUGGGAGCCUGGGUGGUGGUAACCAAACUAGUCCAGAUGGUUCACUGAAGAAAUGGCGCAGUACGCUCAGGUAGUUACAGAUUGGUUGAAGAGGACCGGCCAGGAGAUUGACGUUAACAUGAUGAGAACUUAGAACUGAUUUCGUUCAAUGAAAGGUCCUGUGCAGUUUGUUUGGCACAAAAAUAAAUAUGUUGAAGUUCGG